Long non-coding RNA from Homalodisca vitripennis (glassy-winged sharpshooter), 182 nucleotides. RefSeq lists it as uncharacterized. The record is from RefSeq and is a predicted model, not a curated record. NCBI's taxonomy places the organism in Eukaryota, Metazoa, Arthropoda, Insecta, Hemiptera, Cicadellidae. The transcript is spliced from 3 exons.
ACCGAACUGGGAUAUCGACAAACCGUGCAGUGUCAGGUGAUCAGUGCUUAUACGAGUGGAAAAAUCCCCAAAAUAACUUAAAGGUGUAGUGCGCAGUGUAUGUGAUCGGUUCGCCGUGUGAUCGUGUUAUUGUGUGUGCAGUGUUUGUUAUGGAGGAGCGUUUUGGAUACGUUUUUGGUGAG